Molecule: ribosomal RNA, 255 nt
Filed under: uncultured bacterium
Lineage: Bacteria
Description: partial 16S ribosomal RNA
Rfam family: Bacterial small subunit ribosomal RNA
Source: RNAcentral
UACGUAGGGUGCAAGCGUUAAUCGGAAUUACUGGGCGUAAAGCGUGCGCAGGCGGUUUUGUAAGUCUGACGUGAAAUCCCCGGGCUCAACCUGGGAACUGCAUCUGUGACUGUAUAGCUAGAGUACGGUAGGAGGGGAUGGAAUUCCGCGGUGUAGCAAGUGAAAUGCGUAGAGAUGUGGAGGAACACCGAUGGCGAAGGCAGCCCCUGGUCAAGCACUGACGCUCGAUGCACGAAAGCGUGGGGAGCAAACAGG